Molecule: non-coding RNA, 1076 nt
Organism: Cricetulus griseus (Chinese hamster)
Lineage: Eukaryota; Metazoa; Chordata; Mammalia; Rodentia; Cricetidae
Source: RefSeq, a predicted model, not a curated record
GACUCACUUCCUCCGUGGGUAGGCCUCUCACUCCCCAAAUAUGCCAACCGGCUGCCUGUUGGAGUUUCAAGAAGAAGUGAGAAACUGUGUGUACACACAGACACCUGUGAGAGGAGCUCACACAGAUGUGCUAUAGGAAAGUCAGAGGCCUGAGGAUGCUAGGCAAACUUGUACCGCUGGCCAAACUUCUGAUCUAGGAGAACGGACAUUUUGGUUUCCUGAUUUGCUUACUGUGGAUAGAAGGCCGACAACAGUUAUAGUGAACGAGAAGCCUUUCUGAAGGACCAGUAUGGCUGUGCCCAUAGACACGGUAGUGGCUAACCACUCAGCACUGACAGUUCUCUGGAGGCAAUCCAGCACCCUGGAUUUACUCUGUGUGUGCUCCUGGGAGAGGAACAGGCAUCCAAUGAACAAGGGGAGUCAUGGCAAGGCACAAGGCAGCUGCACCAAGCAGAAGGUUUGGAUGCACAGACCACCCAAGGGACAGCCCCAAGCAGCAGGAGAAAACAAAGUGCGUCAGUGGCUUUCCAGAGGCGGACCUGGCCCCAGUGCUGGAAGGACUUGGAACAGCAGCCAUUCUCUUCUGUCCCCAGCCGGCGGCUCUCUCUGUACUACAGCGCCCCCUGCUGUCUGUGUGCCUGCGGUCCCCGCAGCUGAACCGGAACUGUGAAGUGCCAGGUGCAGGUGCUUCAGUGGCUACUCCAAUUUUUCUCCACUCUGCAUGUCAAAUAGUCUAUGAAUAACCGGAAGGGGCCAAUUAGCAGCUCCUCACUCGGCACCCUGACCUCGAAUUCCCAGUCCGGCAUACCCGCACCACCUGUGAUUUUAGUGCCUGCCUGGUGAUCAGGCAGGUGCAGAAACCUAGGAAAUAUUCUUCAAAAACAUGGUGUGAGAUGCCAAUCCAAGCAUACGCAAUUACCAUGUUUUCUUGGUGACUUGCGUGUGCCAGCUAAAUGGGUUACAACUGAGCUAUACCACCAGCAUAUUCAAAAUUUAACUUUCAUGUAUAAUAUUUUUGUGAUCGUAUAUCAAUUAUGUGCCCAUCAUGUCUAUUAUUGGGUUAAAAUAAAAUGAAG